CAGUCGCCGCGGUAAAACGUAGGGUGCGAGCGUUAAUCGGAAUUACUGGGCGUAAAGCGAGCGCAGGCGGUUUGAUAAGUCUGAAGUUAAAGGCUGUGGCUCAACCAUAGUUCGCUUUGGAAACUGUCAAACUUGAGUGCAGAAGGGGAGAGUGGAAUUCCAUGUGUAGCGGUGAAAUGCGUAGAGAUGUGGAGGAACACCAGUGGCGAAGGCGACUCUCUGGUCUGUAACUGACGCUGAGGAGCGAAAGCGUGGGGAGCGAACAGGAUUAGAUACCCCAGUAGUCCCUGUCUCUUAUACA
This 301-nucleotide ribosomal RNA is filed under the name uncultured bacterium. Its description in RNAcentral is "partial 16S ribosomal RNA". It matches the Rfam family "Bacterial small subunit ribosomal RNA", at positions 509 to 808 of the family's 1533-position model. The record is from RNAcentral.